CAAGGCGACGACGGGUAGCCGGCCUGAGAGGGCGACCGGCCACACUGGGACUGAGACACGGCCCAGACUCCUACGGGAGGCAGCAGUGGGGAAUAUUGCGCAAUGGGCGAAAGCCUGACGCAGCGACGCCGCGUGAGGGAUGAAGGCCUUCGGGUUGUAAACCUCUUUCAGCAGGGACGAAGCGAAAGUGACGGUACCUGCAGAAGAAGCACCGGCCAACUACGUGCCAGCAGCCGCGGUAAUACGUAGGGUGCAAGCGUUGUCCGGAAUUAUUGGGCGUAAAGAGCUCGUAGGCGGCCUGUCGCGUCGGCUGUGAAAACUCAGGGCUCAACCCUGAGCCUGCAGUCGAUACGGGCAGGCUAGAGUCCGGCAGGGGAGACUGGAAUUCCUGGUGUAGCGGUGAAAUGCGCAGAUAUCAGGAGGAACACCGGUGGCGAAGGCGGGUCUCUGGGCCGGAACUGACGCUGAGGAGCGAAAGCGUGGGGAGCGAACAGGAUUAGAUACCCUGGUAGUCCACGCCGUAAACGUUGGGCGCUAGGUGUGGGGAACCUUCCACGGCCUCCGUGCCGCAGCUAACGCA
This 580-nucleotide ribosomal RNA is filed under the name uncultured bacterium. RNAcentral describes it as "bacterial SSU rRNA". It matches the Rfam family "Bacterial small subunit ribosomal RNA", at positions 269 to 859 of the family's 1533-position model. The record is from RNAcentral.